RNAcentral lists this signal recognition particle RNA (99 nucleotides) under Bacteroidales bacterium. RNAcentral's name for it is "signal recognition particle sRNA small type". It matches the Rfam family "Bacteroidales small SRP". Rfam says of the family: The non-coding component of the signal recognition particle in Bacteroides Lineage: Bacteria; Pseudomonadati; Bacteroidota; Bacteroidia; Bacteroidales. The record is from RNAcentral.
GGGUAAGUCCUAUACGACCAGCUCCCAUUGAAUCCUCCAGGACCGGAAGGUAGCAAAGGUAAAUGGUUGUAGCGGUGCGAUAUAGUAAGCUUACCCUUU